UACGGAGGGAGCUAGCGUUGUUCGGAAUUACUGGGCGUAAAGCGUACGUAGGCGGUUAUUCAAGUCAGAGGUGAAAGCCUGGAGCUCAACUCCAGAACUGUCUUUGAAACUAGAUAGCUAGGAUCUUGGAGAGGUGAGUGGAAUUCCGAGUGUAGAGGUGAAAUUCGUAGAUAUUCGGAAGAACACCAGUGGCGAAGGCGCCUCACUGGACAAGUAUUGACGCUGAGGUACGAAAGCGUGGGGAGCAAACAGG
Molecule: ribosomal RNA, 253 nt
Filed under: uncultured bacterium
Lineage: Bacteria
Description: partial 16S ribosomal RNA
Rfam family: Bacterial small subunit ribosomal RNA
Source: RNAcentral